RNAcentral lists this long non-coding RNA (2851 nucleotides) under Phoenix dactylifera (date palm). RNAcentral describes it as "long non-coding RNA (PDAC_LNC002855)". The record is from RNAcentral. Lineage: Eukaryota; Viridiplantae; Streptophyta; Magnoliopsida; Arecales; Arecaceae.
CUUAAUGUCAUUUUUAUAGUAGGUCGUAUUGAGCAUCAGGUGAUUGAGUGAGCAGUUCUAUUCAUGAGACAUUAACGAAGGGUGGCUUCCAUAGAUGAUACAACAAUGCAGGACUUCUGGACUUGCUCAUUGCACAGAAGGCGAAAGAGAGUUUUAUUAACAGAGGUGUUGAACCCAAAGAUUGGACGGCAAGGUAAACUAACUUGCCCAUAAUGGGAAACCUCCCCUUUUGUGAGUGAUUGGCUGUUAUUCUCUUUAAAGAUCUUUAUGGGAUUGAGUAUGGCUCCAAGAUCUGCAUGGAUCAUGUGAGGCAGACUCUGUAAACAAUGCAUCGGGCAAAUCAGUUUGAUUUGAUGCUUGCUAAGGAAAGAAGAUAGAAGAAGAAAAAGAAAAGCAGUAUGUCAUAAAGGUGUUAGAAAAUGGUGUUGGGACCAGAAUGAAGGUUGGUUGUAUUGUGGAAGAAUGCUUCUUUAGUAGUAAUUUGGAGGCAUGGUUAUGCUACUGUUGAUUGUAAUUUAUUGCUAUUUUUUUAAGUGCAGGCGAAGAGGCCACAAAGAAGGGGGAAAAAGAGAGGCAAAGAGGCCAUAUUUGUUUUGAACACCAUGUGCCAUGCACUGCUAAAUCUCAUGUUUUUGAGAUCCCGGGGAGAUUGAUUCCUUAUAUAUAAAAGAAAAACAUUAGAAACGGAUGGAAGGAAGAGAGAGAGAGAGAGUUAGAAUGGUUUUAUUAUGAUCAUUUAGUUUGUGUUAAAUGCGAUGAUGAGGUUUAUGAAUCAAAAGAGUUGACUAGGAACAGAAAAAUGAACAAUUUAAGAAAUGAGCAAUUUAAGAAAAAUGAAUCACAUUGCAAUGCAUUUAAAAAGAAAAAUGAACAAUAUAAGAAAUGAGCAAUUUAAGAACUUAGUUACAGGAGUCAGAAGUGGGAUGGAGGGCAGAUUUGGAUACGAGAGCAUGGAAGCAUAACCAUCAUAGAAAUUUAAAGUCAGCAAGUGAUAAGGUAGUGGGUGUGGGAAAGAGAUUCUAAGUAGAAGAUUGUGGCUACUAAGUUUAAGAAGCAUGUUCACUGCUGGGAAGUGGUUGUUUAGUAGAUAGACAAACAAUGCCAAGGGCAAAUGGGGGAUUGGAAAUUAUUAUGACGCUUCUGCUGUGGAAUCACAAUGUAUAUGCUCUAAGGUGAUGGUCUCCAUUUUAAGUUCUUUAAUUUGUACAUGGUGAAAAAACCUAGCUAUGGGCCACUUGUAUGACGAACUGGAUAAAUGUAAAAAGGCUAUCAAGAACAUAUUCAAUGUGAGCAUAGAGAGAUGCACCUUUGAAAUAUUGGUACAAGAAAAAGAAAAAUAAAUCACUGAUACAUGAUGCAGGGUUGUCAAAAGUGGCUGCUUAUGCAGCCGCUUAGUUGUGCUAGACCAUUUAAGCUUUAACCUGAAGCACUGAGCUGCCAUUUAGUCCAUUUAGCUGCUUUGACAUUUGUUUACAUGCUUAAGUUGAUGCUUAGUCUUCUUAACUGUUCAGUAUGAGCCACUGAUUGGAUUAAAAUGUUGAUGUGAGAAUGCUUAGCAAAUCAUAUUUUUAGUAGUAAAUAUUUAUACUCUAAUGUAUUACCUAGCAUAUUGUGGCACAUAAUAGCUACAUGAAGAUUGUUAUGCAUUUUGGUGCGUCAUUAUUCCUAUAAAGUGUCAAAUACUUGUUUGUUUGUGUCUACUUUUUCUCCAUUUACCUGUAGAGCCAUAUAUGCAGUCAUGAUCCCUGUAAAAGAAAGGAAAAUUCUGAUUAGUCAAGGCAGUAUUAGUUAGCAUGUCUAUUGGUCAUUCCAGCUUAUUUUGGAUUAAAUACAAUUUUUCUGACAGCUUAAGCAUUUAGCUUUCUUUUUAAGUGCACAAGCUUUUUAAAAUACUUGUGGAUUUUUGCAUAUCUAAUGACAAUCUAACUGUUUCGACAACCACGAUGAGAUGGGAUUAUCAACUUGACUGUUAGAUGAACAUAACAAAGUGACUGUGCUUGUGUUGGGGAAUUAGUUCCAAGAAUUGAUGGGUAGAAAAAUCAUAAGUGAAUCACUGAAAUUUAAGAGCACCAAGGACCACUUUGAAAUUUCAAUGACCAUUAGAUUGGGAAAAACAUGGUCUCCAAGUAUAAAUACUUGUAGGCAGGAAAUACUUUAUACUAGGCAAAGUAUUUUGUGCUUACAAAACUACACAGCUAAAAAGCUGAAUUUAUAUGGAAUCACAGCUCGUAAUUUGCAAACACAAGCAAAUGGAAAUUCUUGGUUUGACUUGUUUGUGAAGAGUGGUUGAACAUGUGAAUAUAUGCUCUACUAACUACUAAGAUUGCUUUCAAUAAUCAUACACUAUUGUUAACAGAUGAAAUAAGACCAGCUAAAGAUACUACUUGAUUUAUAGGGUUUGUUUUUUAAUAUGGGCCUUAGUGCACACAAAGAAAGGUGUGGUUUUGCUAAUCCCAUCUGAUGUAUAAAUUUUCCCCUUUUUUUGAAAAAACUAUCAUUUUAUUAAUUUUGGGCAAUUCACAUAUGCCUGGCAGCUGGUUAGGUUCCACGUGCCAAUCUUUCUGGUACUGCUGAGUGCUGACAAUGAUAGUCUAUGUAUUUACCACUGGAACUUUAUUGGAGAUUGUUAAUUUUUCCAACUGAUGUAAUCUCAUUUGCUGUUCCAGGAGAAUGAUUUCCUUCAUCGAUCCAGACAGCAUGUACUUCAUUAUAUUUCGGACUUCCUGAAUACAUUAUUAAGCCCUGAUCAACUUAUUGAAUUGUUAUUUUGUUGGACCAAGUGUUUCAGGACUUGAUAAUUUGUAAUUGGAAAGAUGAAUCUGUAAAGUAUGUGUACAUAUUUUACUGAUUA